Molecule: ribosomal RNA, 253 nt
Filed under: uncultured bacterium
Lineage: Bacteria
Description: partial 16S ribosomal RNA
Rfam family: Bacterial small subunit ribosomal RNA
Source: RNAcentral
UACGUAGGGGGCGAGCGUUGUCCGGAGUUACUGGGCGUAAAGGGCACGCAGGCGGUGCGGCGCGUUUCGCGUGACAGCGGAGGGCUUAACUCUCCGAGGAUGCGAAAGACGGCGGCACUUGAGGGCCAGAGAGGGACACGGAAUUCCGGGUGGAGUGGUGAAAUGCGUAGAGAUCGGGAGGAACACCCGUGGCGAAGGCGGCUCACUGGGCUGACCUUGACGCUGAGGCGCGAAGGCGUGGGGAGCGAACGGG